AUAUUCUACUUAAACUACUUCUUG
Molecule: transfer RNA, 24 nt
Filed under: Peromyscus gossypinus (cotton mouse)
Lineage: Eukaryota; Metazoa; Chordata; Mammalia; Rodentia; Cricetidae
Description: partial tRNA-Pro
Source: RNAcentral